GGGAGUGUGUAAGUAAAGCCCUAUCCCACAGCAUGUGGAUGGGGACUGGAGCAUCUGGAGUCAGUGGAGCCAGUGCAGUAGAACCUGUGGCACCGGAGCUCAGUUCAGACAGAGGAAAUGUGACAACCCGCCGCCAGGUCCUGGUGGUAGUAACUGUCAGAAGGCCAGUGUGGAACAUAAAGUGUGUGAAGGUCCUCCCUGCCCUAAAGGAACACCCAGCUUCAGAGAGCUGCAGUGUCUCUCCCAUGACCGCCAGGCCGGAAAGAAGAAGAACAGCAUAUGGACCGCAGUCAAUAACGAUGAGAAGCCAUGUGCCCUGUUCUGUUCCCCUGUGGGGAGAGAUGCCCCCAUCCUGGUGGCAGAGAGAGUGAUGGAUGGAACACCAUGUGGACCC
Oncorhynchus masou masou (cherry salmon) is the source of this 394-nucleotide long non-coding RNA. RefSeq lists it as uncharacterized. The record is from RefSeq and is a predicted model, not a curated record. The transcript is spliced from 3 exons. Lineage: Eukaryota; Metazoa; Chordata; Actinopteri; Salmoniformes; Salmonidae.